Molecule: long non-coding RNA, 411 nt
Filed under: Eucalyptus grandis
Lineage: Eukaryota; Viridiplantae; Streptophyta; Magnoliopsida; Myrtales; Myrtaceae
Description: long non-coding RNA (EGRA_LNC003109)
Source: RNAcentral
AACCCGACGUCUCGCGGGUCAAUAUUUUUUAUUAUCAUAACUUAAUAUGAAAAAUUUCCUAAUGAUAAAAAUAAAUCAAAUCAAGUCAAUUCCACAAGCUAAAAAAUCCAAAUAAUAGCUUAAUUUAACCUAAAAUUUUACCUAGCUUGGAAAAUUAUCUCCAAGAUGGAAACCAGCAAGGAACCAUUCCAAAUUCACCCUUCUCAAGCCUCAAGUGACCGGCGUCGGAGCUCAGGUGAGGACUAGGCGGUAGCAGCAGCAGGGAGGCGCGGCGUCGAUGACCGGCGAACAGCAGGAUCGCGGGUCGCAGCAAUGGUGGCUCGGGCUGAGGCGCAAUGGCGGAGGCGGUAGCUGCAGCAGCAAAAGGGGCUGUACAGACGUCAAGCGCCGAGCGAAAGAUGGCAAUGGGGG